This 524-nucleotide unclassified non-coding RNA is filed under the name Hevea brasiliensis (rubber tree). Lineage: Eukaryota; Viridiplantae; Streptophyta; Magnoliopsida; Malpighiales; Euphorbiaceae. The record is from RNAcentral.
AGCUUGCCAAGAAGAGGGCUUUUGAAGGCUAUUGGAUUCAAUACCGUCCUAUUAUGUGUUAGUCCUGUUUUUGCUGCUCCAAUGCCAGAGGUGAAGGAACCUCAAGUUUUCGAUAUUAUUGAAGGAGAAGGUCAAAAAGCUCAAGAAGGAGAUCUUGUUGAAGUAAAUUAUGUAUGCCGCCGCUCAAAUGGAUAUUUUGUCCACAGCACGGUGGAUCAAUUCAGUGGAGAAAGCUCACCUGUCAUACUUCCUUUGGAUGAGAAUCAGAUUAUCAAGGGCUUGAAGGAGGUUCUAAUUGGCAUGAAGGUUGGAGGGAAGAGAAGAGCAUUGAUUCCACCUUCUGUAGGGUACAUAAAUGAAAACUUGAAGCCAGUCCCUGAAGAGUUUGGUCCUCGUCGAAGCCUUUUCUCUCAUGCAAAUGAGCCUUUAAUAUUUGAGGUGCAGCUCUUAAAAGUCCUAUGAGUUUUUCUUUGUUUUACAUACCUUGUAAUGAAAUUAGAAUUAUUUUUAUUUUUAUAUCUUUA